GAUGAACGCUGGCGGCGUGCCUAAUACAUGCAAGUCGAGCGAACGGACGAGAAGCUUGCUUUUCUGAUGUUAACGGCGGACGGGUGAGUAACACGUGGAUAACCUACCUAUAAGACUGGGAUAACUUCGGGAAACCGGAGCUAAUACCGGAUAAUAUUUUGAACCGCAUGGUUCAAAAGUGAAAGACGGUCUUGCUGUCACUUAUAGAUGGAUCCGCGCUGCAUUAGCUAGUUGGUAAGGUAACGGCUUACCAAGGCAACGAUGCAUAGCCGACCUGAGAGGGUGAUCGGCCACACUGGAACUGAGACACGGUCCAGACUCCUACGGGAGGCAGCAGUAGGGAAUCUUCCGCAAUGGGCGAAGGCCUGACGGAGCAACGCCGCGUGAGUGAUGAAGGUCUUCGGAUCGUAAAACUCUGUUAUUAGGGAAGAACAUAUGUGUAAGUAACUGUGCACAUCUUGACGGUACCUAAUCAGAAAGCCACGGCUAACUACGUG
Molecule: ribosomal RNA, 497 nt
Filed under: uncultured bacterium
Lineage: Bacteria
Description: partial 16S ribosomal RNA
Rfam family: Bacterial small subunit ribosomal RNA
Source: RNAcentral